UACGUAGGGUGCAAGCGUUGUCCGGAAUUAUUGGGCGUAAAGAGCUCGUAGGCGGUCUGUCGCGUCUGCUGUGAAAACUCGGGGCUUAACCCCGGGCCUGCAGUGGGUACGGGCAGACUAGAGGUAUGCAGGGGAGAACGGAAUUCCUGGUGUAGCGGUGAAAUGCGCAGAUAUCAGGAGGAACACCGGUGGCGAAGGCGGUUCUCUGGGCAUGAUCUGACGCUGAGGAGCGAAAGUGUGGGGAGCGAACAGG
Molecule: ribosomal RNA, 253 nt
Filed under: uncultured bacterium
Lineage: Bacteria
Description: partial 16S ribosomal RNA
Rfam family: Bacterial small subunit ribosomal RNA
Source: RNAcentral